Molecule: ribosomal RNA, 475 nt
Filed under: uncultured organism
Description: partial 16S ribosomal RNA
Rfam family: Bacterial small subunit ribosomal RNA
Source: RNAcentral
ACACUCCUGCGGGAGGCAGCAGUGGGGAAUAUUGCACAAUGGGCGCAAGCCUGAUGCAGCCAUGCCGCGUGUAUGAAGAAGGCCUUCGGGUUGUAAAGUACUUUCAGCGGGGAGGAAGGCGAUAAGGUUAAUAACCUUGUUGAUUGACGUUACCCGCAGAAGAAGCACCGGCUAACUCCGUGCCAGCAGCCGCGGUAAUACGGAGGGUGCAAGCGUUAAUCGGAAUUACUGGGCGUAAAGCGCACGCAGGCGGUCUGUCAAGUCGGAUGUGAAAUCCCCGGGCUCAACCUGGGAACUGCAUUCGAAACUGGCAGGCUAGAGUCUUGUAGAGGGGGGUAGAAUUCCAGGUGUAGUGGUGAAAUGCGUAGAGAUCUGGAGGAAUACCGGUGGCGAAGGCGGCCCCCCGGACAAAGACUGACGCUCAGGUGCGAAAGCGUGGGGAGCAAACAGGAUUAGAUACCCCGGUAGUCCCAUG